GACGGUACUUGAUGAAUAAGCCACGGCUAAUUCCGUGCCAGCAGCCGCGGUAAUACGGGAGUGGCAAGCGUUAUCCGGAAUUAUUGGGCGUAAAGCGUCCGCAGGCGGCCCAACAAGUCUGCUGUUAAAAAGUGGAGCUUAACUCCAUCAUGGCAGUGGAAACUGUUGGGCUCGAGUGUGGUAGGGGCAGAGGGAAUUCCCGGUGUAGCGGUGAAGUGCGUAGAUAUCGGGAAGAACACCAGUGGCGAAGGCGCUCUGCUGGGCCAUCACUGACGCUCAUGGACGAAAGCCAGGGGAGCGAAAGGGAUUAGAUACCCCUGUAGUCCUGGCCGUAAACGAUGAACACUAGGUGUCGGGGGAAUCGACCCCUCCGGUGUCGUAGCCAACGCGUUAAGUGUUCCGCCUGGGGAGUACGCACGCAAGUGUGAAACUCAAAGGAAUUGACGGGGGCCCGCACAAGCGGUGGAGUAUGUGGUUUAAUUCGAUGCAACGCGAAGAACCUUACCAGGGUUUGACAUCCUGCGAAUCUCUUGGAAACUUGAGAGUGCCUUCGGGAGCGCAGUGACAGGUGGUGCAUGGCUGUCGUCAGCUCGUGUCGUGAGAUGUUGGGUUAAGUCCCGCAACGAGCGCAACCCACGUCUUUAGUUGCCAGCAUUUAGUUGGGCACUCUAGAGAGACCGCCGGUGAUAAACCGGAGGAAGGUGUGGAUGACGUCAAGUCAUCAUGCCCCUUACAUCCUGGGCUACACACGUACUACAAUGCUACGGACAAAGGGCAGUAAGUUCGCGAGGACAAGCAAAUCCCAUAAACCGUGGCUCAGUUCAGAUCGUAGGCUGCAACUCGCCUACGUGAAGGAGGAAUCGCUAGUAAUCGCAGGUCAGCAUACUGCGGUGAAUACGUUCCCGGGCCUUGUACACACCGCCCGUCACACCAUGGAAGUUGGCCACGCCCGAAGCCGUUACUCCAACCCUUGUGGAGGAGGACGUCGAAGGUGGGGCUGAUGACUGGGGUG
This 1012-nucleotide ribosomal RNA is filed under the name uncultured bacterium. RNAcentral describes it as "bacterial SSU rRNA". It matches the Rfam family "Bacterial small subunit ribosomal RNA", at positions 471 to 1482 of the family's 1533-position model. The record is from RNAcentral.